RNAcentral lists this long non-coding RNA (896 nucleotides) under Homo sapiens (human). Its description in RNAcentral is "non-protein coding lnc-MTRNR2L13-11:1". Lineage: Eukaryota; Metazoa; Chordata; Mammalia; Primates; Hominidae. The record is from RNAcentral.
GAUUAAGUUGUAAAGCCUAAAGUAAUAAGAACAAAGAAAUUCCUUGAGAAGAGAGAACUGAAAUUCAGUGAAAAUAUUAAAAAUGCCAUGUUGAUUAAAGAGGAGAAUGCAACUGCAACAGUGACACAAGUACUUAGAGAUGUGUAUGCUUUGAAAAAUCUAUGUGGCUUUUUGUACAAAAAGAAAAAUAUUAUAAGACUGUUCUAGAAUCAGAUAUCACUGGAAUUCUUCAAAGAAGUCAGAUUGUUCCUUAUUCACAUACGGCUCCCAUAAUAAGAAAUGAACAAAUAAUCUAAUAAGAGAUCACAUGUAUGGCUAUCUUUUGCUAGAUAUGAUAGAAUUAGGCUUUGAGAAAUUUGUCUCAUUAAUAGACAUUAAGAACAGUAAAUGCCCUGAGAAAACAAAACCCAUGAUAAUAUUUGCUGGUGAGGAUUUUGUUGUAAAAGAAGACUAUAAGGCUAAAGAGUCUUCUUACUGAUUUCUUCAGCAGCCCAGGAGUAUCAAAUAGCCUCCCAACUGGAUCAGAGUAUGUUUUACACUUCACCACUCAGUAAGGGAAGAUUUAUUUUCGAAGCUAUGAGUUACUGCUGAAGAAAUCUGUUGCAGAAUACCACAGAUUGAAGUGGAGAUAUGGAAACCUCAUUGGAUCGGGUUCCGAGGAGGACACACCUGGCAUCAGAUGAACUUUAUAAAUUAUCUAUGCAAAUGCCAACAACUUUCAAGCCAAAGAGGAAGAAAAUUAUCUCCCAUGAUACUUUUGGUAUAAUUUGUGGAAGGAUUCACAUGCAGAAGUAAGGCCUAAGCAAACUACAGACUGGGGAAAUGAGGGGUUUGAUGUGAACUGAAGAAAAUAGAAGACCAUGAGAAAAAAAACAAAGAGAAUUUUUAAAAAUAAU